Molecule: ribosomal RNA, 790 nt
Filed under: uncultured bacterium
Lineage: Bacteria
Description: bacterial SSU rRNA
Rfam family: Bacterial small subunit ribosomal RNA
Source: RNAcentral
AACUAGAGUAUGGUAGCUUAAUGGGGAAUUUCUGGUGUAGCGGUGAAAUGCGUAGAGAUCAGAAGGAACACCAAUGGCGAAGGCAACAUUCUGGACCAAUACUGACACUGAGGGACGAAAGCGUGGGGAUCAAACAGGAUUAGAUACCCUGGUAGUCCACGCUGUAAACGAUGAGUACUAGCUGUUGGAUUCGGUGUAAAGGAUCUAGUGGCGUAGCUAACGCGUUAAGUACUCCGCCUGGGGACUACGGCCGCAAGGCUAAAACUCAAAGGAAUUGACGGGGACCCGCACAAGCGGUGGAGCAUGUGGUUUAAUUCGAUGCAACGCGAAGAACCUUACCUGGUCUUGACAUCCUGCGAACUUUCUAGAGAUAGAUUGGUGCCUUCGGGAACGCAGUGACAGGUGCUGCACGGCUGUCGUCAGCUCGUGUUGUGAAAUGUUGGGUUAAGUCCCGCAACGAGCGCAACCCCUAUUGAUAGUUACCAUCAUUAAGUUGGGUACUCUAUUGAGACUGCCGCUGACAAGGCGGAGGAAGGUGGGGACGACGUCAAGUCAUCAUGGCCCUUACGACCAGGGCUACACACGUGCUACAAUGGGUAUUACAGAGGGCAGCGAAGUAGCGAUAUGGAGCGAAACUCAGAAAGGUACUCUUAGUCCGGAUUGCAGUCUGCAACUCGACUGCAUGAAGUCGGAAUCGCUAGUAAUCGCAGGUCAGAAUACUGCGGUGAAUACGUUCCCGGGUCUUGUACACACCGCCCGUCACACCAUGGGAGUGGGUUGCUCCAGAAGU